UCUCCAUUUCUUGGCAUACAUAUAGUUGCUCAGUAUUUGUGUAAUGUAUGGAGGUAGAACAAAGCCAGUGCUAUGUCUUCGGUGCCAGUGUGUUAUCAGCUCCUGGUCCUAUCCUCAAUCGCUGGCCUGCUU
This is a small nucleolar RNA of Hucho hucho (huchen), 132 nucleotides long. NCBI's taxonomy places the organism in Eukaryota, Metazoa, Chordata, Actinopteri, Salmoniformes, Salmonidae. The record is from Ensembl.